This 252-nucleotide non-coding RNA is filed under the name Pseudocercospora musae. RNAcentral's name for it is "Mycosphaerella musicola Eukaryotic small subunit ribosomal RNA". It matches the Rfam family "Eukaryotic small subunit ribosomal RNA", at positions 1582 to 1831 of the family's 1831-position model. Lineage: Eukaryota; Fungi; Ascomycota; Dothideomycetes; Mycosphaerellales; Mycosphaerellaceae. The record is from Rfam by way of RNAcentral.
CAUUGCAAUUAUUGCUCUUCAACGAGGAAUGCCUAGUAAGCGCAUGUCAUCAGCAUGCGUUGAUUACGUCCCUGCCCUUUGUACACACCGCCCGUCGCUACUACCGAUUGAAUGGCUCAGUGAGGCCUUCGGACUGGCCCAGGGAGGUCGGCAACGACCACCCAGGGCCGGAAAGUUGGUCAAACUCGGUCAUUUAGAGGAAGUAAAAGUCGUAACAAGGUCUCCGUAGGUGAACCUGCGGAGGGAUCAUUA